This is a long non-coding RNA of Diceros bicornis minor, 280 nucleotides long. RefSeq lists it as uncharacterized. The record is from RefSeq and is a predicted model, not a curated record. NCBI's taxonomy places the organism in Eukaryota, Metazoa, Chordata, Mammalia, Perissodactyla, Rhinocerotidae. The transcript is spliced from 3 exons.
AAAGACUUUCAAUGACAAAUUCUUGUGGCUACCAACCUAUUCGGCCAAGGCAUGGACAUCAAGUGAGUGAACAUUGCCUUUAGCUCCAACAUUCCUGAGGAUUCCGACACCUACCUGCAUCGGGUGGCCAGAGCAGGCCGUUUAGGCACCAAUGUCAUCCACCACGUUUAUAUCAGAUGAGAAUGAUGCCAAGAUCCUCAAUGAUGUGCAAGAUCACUUUGAGGUCCAUAUUAGUGAGCUGCCUGAUGAGACAGACAUCUCCUCCUACAUUGAACAGACA